UGGGUGACCUGCCCUCGGCUCCGGGAUAACUCCGGGAAACCGGUGCUAAUACCGGAUGGCCUCCGACGCUUUCGGGCGACGGAGAAAAGGUAGCUUCGGCUUCCGACCGAGGAUGGGCCCGCGGCCGAUUAGCUUGUUGGUGGGGUAAAGGCCCACCAAGGCGACGACGGGUAGCCGGCCUGAGAGGGCGACCGGCCACACUGGGACUGAGACACGGCCCAGACUCCUACGGGAGGCAG
RNAcentral lists this ribosomal RNA (239 nucleotides) under uncultured bacterium. RNAcentral describes it as "partial 16S ribosomal RNA". It matches the Rfam family "Bacterial small subunit ribosomal RNA", at positions 118 to 351 of the family's 1533-position model. The record is from RNAcentral.